AGUGAACGCUGGCGGUAGGCCUAACACAUGCAAGUCGAACGGCAGCACAGUAAGAGCUUGCUCUUACGGGUGGCGAGUGGCGGACGGGUGAGGAAUACAUCGGAAUCUACUUUUUCGUGGGGGAUAACGUAGGGAAACUUACGCUAAUACCGCAUACGACCUACGGGUGAAAGCAGGGGAUCUUCGGACCUUGCGCGUUUGAAUGAGCCGAUGUCGGAUUAGCUAGUUGGCGGGGUAAAGGCCCACCAAGGCGACGAUCCGUAGCUGGUCUGAGAGGAUGAGCAGCCACACUGGAACUGAGACACGGUCCAGACUCCUACGGGAGGCAGCAGUGGGGAAUAUUGGACAAUGGGCGCAAGCCUGAUUCAGCCAUACCGCGUGGGUGAAGAAGGCCUUCGGGUUGUAAAGCCCUUUUGUUGGGAAAGAAAAGCAGCAGGUUAAUACCCCGCUGUUCUGACGGUACCCAAAGAAUAAGCACCGGCUAACUUCGUG
This 492-nucleotide ribosomal RNA is filed under the name uncultured bacterium. Its description in RNAcentral is "partial 16S ribosomal RNA". It matches the Rfam family "Bacterial small subunit ribosomal RNA", at positions 29 to 507 of the family's 1533-position model. The record is from RNAcentral.